Molecule: long non-coding RNA, 4092 nt
Organism: Bubalus bubalis (water buffalo)
Lineage: Eukaryota; Metazoa; Chordata; Mammalia; Artiodactyla; Bovidae
Exons: 2
Source: RefSeq, a predicted model, not a curated record
AGAUGGUUGAAUGGCAUCACCAACUCGAUGGACAUGAAUUUGAGCAAACUCUGGGAGAUGGUGAAGGACGGGGAAGCCUGGCUUGCUGCAGUCCCUGGGUCACAGAGUCAGACAUGACUCAGUGAAUGAAAAGUGCAAAGGUGAGGGGAUGGAGGCUCCUAGGGGUCAAGCAGCAUAUCCAACCAAGGUCACCCCCAAGAAGAGGUUUGAAGUUUGAUGCUGGUGACGCAGCUGAGACUUUCUCUGUGGCUCUGCAGCACAACUCUUGGAGAGCAGAUGGCAUCAUGUGGAAGCAAAUGUGAGCUCAGUUCACUGAGCCGCCUCCUCACAGGACUUGGCAUGCGGUAUAUUAUUUCCUGAUCAGGAAUUGAACUGCCUCCCCAUCAUUGGACGCACAGAGUUUUAACCACUGAACCACUAGGGAAGUCCCUGAGUUUGCUCUUAAAUGCUGAAUGCCAGAGGCCUCUAUGGGAUCCAAGAGGCAGGCUUUAACCUGGGCCCCUUCAGCCUGGAGGCACUGGAAGGGUUGACCAGGGAGAGCAUGAUGCAUGAGUGAAGAAGAGAAGAGGCUGGAGCCCAAGAGAAGUACGAGAGAAGCUCACCUGGCAGUAAUUCUGGGAAGACUUGGUUCACAGAGUCUGGAAGGGGAUGGGGAUUCAACGAAGUAGCAUAGAGUGGCUGAUGCCAGAGAGAGGCCAGGAUGGGUGAGGACUGAUGGAGGUGGCUCCUAGGAGAUGAGCAGUGAGGCUGGAAAGAGCGCUGUCUGUCAGGGUGGGUGGUGCUGAAAGAGACCACAGGAUGGUGUGAGGAGGUGGGAUGGUGUCUGGAAUCACACUGGCCACAGCAGGAACAGCGGCGUACCCAGAGUGAAAACAGUGGAUGAUGGUGGUUAGAGACGAAGGGACUUGAGAGUAACUGAUGCUGAAGGAAAGGAUUCAGUGUGCGGUACUUUGUGAUGGUUUGAGCUCUGCCACCUUCUGAAGACCUGAUGGAAGCUCUGAGAUCCACCCUCAAACUUUACCCCCUACAGACAGAGUUUACAUCCUGUGGUGCAGAGUUCACACACCCUGUGAAACCUACCGGGACUCCAGGAGGAGCUGCAGGGUCCUUCCCCAGGAGAGAAGGUGCUGGGAGGUGGGGAGACAGUGGCGCUGAACUGGGGACACUCAGGUCUUUCCUUGGAGCCCUUGCUUCCUUCUCUCAUUCAAGGCCACGCUUCCCUCUUUCACUAGGACUGUUCCCAUUUUAUAGGCAGAGAGACUAAGGCACCAGGACUGGGGUUAGGGGUUAUUCUGAUUAACUCCCUGCAGCAGAGGCAGGAGGCAGCCCCGGACUGGGAGUCGCAUGGACUAAUUAGCCUCUAAUUGAGUUCCCUCUCCUUCCUCUCUGGCAUCACAGUGACAUUAAAUUACAGGAUUCAAACAUAUAAUUUCCUAAACUUAAAUGUGAUUUAUCUUAAUAGGACUUUGUACCAGGUCACUUUAUCAUGUACAGUGUCAGAGACCAGAUCUAUUAUUCACAGGGACUAUUAGGGAAUCAGAGACAGUGGAACUUGGAGAGACCUUGAGAGGUCAGCUUGUGUUCAACUCCGUGGCCCCCAGCCCAGCUGCCCCCAACCCUGGGCAGCCCCUCGCCCCAUGCUGGUGGCCUGUGGAUGGAUAGCUGGGUUGAAGUGUGAGCAGAAGGGGAGAGACCCAACCUUCAUAAACCGGACAUCCUGCCUGGGGUCCAGCUCAAAGCUUUGUUGCUGUGAAUCAUCGCCUCAAUUUCAUAGACUAUGCAUAUAAUGCCGGCCCUACAUCCACGUACCUUCAUUCUGUCUGGCCAGUCACUGAGCUGGGUGGUUCAUUAGAGAAAUGGAUCAGAGUAAGAAUAUCUCAGAGCAAGAAAAGGGCUGGUGUAUUAUAUCACUGAUUAACUCAUCAGUUCAUUUGCUCAGUCAUCACGUAGUUUAGAAAGGCCAGCCUUGCUGUACAGAUGGAGAAACACAAACCGAGAGAGGAGAAGUGAUGUGCCCGAGAGCAGAAGCAAAGCUUCGAUUCAAACCCAGGCUUCUGCAGGCCAGACCAUCUUGUCCUGUCUCCAGCUGCCCACCAGCUGACAUGUGCUCUUGGCAGGUGGCCAUGGGGGAGUAGAAGGCUGAUGUUUAUCUCCAUGAUGAAUGGAAUUCCACUUGGCAACUUGAUCUUCAGCCUUUGUGACUUUGGGAAGACAGGGGGUGAUCAAAAGAAUAUAUUUUUCUAAUGAAAGACACCUUUGGAAAUACAAUAUACCGCUCUGUCAGCCUCCCGAGUCACGGGAGGAGAGAUGGGGAAGAUCUGUGGUGAGCAAGGCUGCCAUUGACAAGUUGAUCUAAACGUGUGCGGGCCAUCCAGUCUCUGGAGCACCAGCCAGACUCUUGAAAUUGUGCUGAAGAAGUUCAAACACAGAGGGGUAGGGCUCACACGCAGUUCUGAGCUGCAGGUCUGGACCCAGGCCACUGGAGCUUGAACCCUGAGUCAGCCUGACCGCUUAAUAGCCCUGUGCCCGGCCAGGCAAAGAUUAUGAUACUCACUGUCUUGGUUUCCUGUUCUGUAAAACUGGAAUAGGUGGACUUAGCUCAUCAGGUUGUUUUGAGGAUAGUGGAGAUAAAGCAUGUAAGAUGUGUAGUGUGGGGCUGGUUAGAUACAAUGUGAAUCCCCUCCCUGUAAUGCUGGCUUUUAUUAAACACGCAGUUACCUGCUUUUCCCAAAUCAAGAAUAGACAGAGCUGGGCACAAUCUUCUUGGGGCAGCAUUUGCCUCACUGGUGAUCGCAGACACGUGCUUCUGAAUUAAGGGGAAGGGAAGGGGAAGCCCCUUGAGACCUGCGUCUUCUCAAGCCCCAUCCUCGUGGGACCCAGGUUUCUAGCUCAUAAAAUGAGGAAAGGAAGCCCUUUUAGUUUUCCUGUUCCCAGUUGUGGAGUGAGGUAGGUUCCCAUGUGUCAGGAGCAGCGUGGGGAUCAGGGAGGUUAAAGGCAGUUUAGACCCAGACAUUACAGUCUGAAUAUGGCUGAGAUGGGUGCUUGUUUUCCAUCUGUGACAGCCACAUGGAUAAACUGCUGUUUGGAGGGGGAGAUGAUGUGGGGGUACCAGUGGUGGAGGGGCACCAAUGUGCAAGGGCAGCUUAAUGGAUUCUGGUCAGGAGGGGCUUCAGGGAGGAGGUGACAUUUCAGCUGACGGUUGAAGGAGGUGGAGGUUCUGAGUUUUUAACUUAGUUUGACAAAGAUGGGAAAGUACCUGGAUUACUGGAAACUCAGUGAGAAGGGACGGGGUCUUAUAGGUUUGAAGUGUGUGUGUGUGUGUGUGUGUGUGUGUGUAGCUUGGUUAAGGCAGCAAGACAAGAUAGGGAGGAAGCCUGGUGCAAGUGGGGCUGGGAGAGAGGUGGCACUGAGGGUGUGUGGCAAGCUUGGCAUUUACUGCCUCAAAUCAACAAGUCAUCACAGAAUAGGCAGCUGAUCCAUCAGGGGUGGUCCCGGAGGCUGUGAUGCUUAAGCAGGGAGCUGAAGGCCUGGGGAUGGCUGGACAGGCGGGGAGAAGCACAAUCAUGAAAUCCCAGGGCUUGCAGAGGAUAGAGAGACAGCCCGAAGGACAGUCAACCGUGUCCCCCUCAGCCCUGAGUUGAGGGUAAGAACGGAAGCAGGUGGUCGAGAUAACGCAUGGAUCGCAGUUGGAGUCAAAUUGUUCAGCACCCUACAAGCCCUGCAGCCACCAGGAUCCAAAAGACAGCUCGCCGGCAGGGAGCUGAUGGGGUUUCUUUGGCUCCAAGCCCCUCCCCAGCUGACUCAGGCCCGCAGACGAUGCUAUUUGGUUGAUUGGCCCUUGACUACACAUCUGUCUACCUGGGCACGGAGGAUGCCGGCCAUCACUGAGGAUGUUAAAUGCAGAUUUGUGGCUCAGUCUGUGGAAUCCAUUCGGCAUGAAGAGAGUAUGAUAUUACCCAAUGUUUAUGGAUGGCUGUGUCUAAAAUAUCCAUUCUGAAGUCCACUGAAGGAUGAAAUUCCUUGUUACUUUCGUAGAUUCUCUUGUCUUAUUUCCCCCUCUCUGCAGAGGAACAUAAAGCAUUAGUAUUUUUA